This is a long non-coding RNA of Tyto alba (common barn owl), 4056 nucleotides long. RefSeq lists it as uncharacterized. The record is from RefSeq and is a predicted model, not a curated record. The transcript has 4 exons. Lineage: Eukaryota; Metazoa; Chordata; Aves; Strigiformes; Tytonidae.
GAUGGGGAAGCUGCCAGGUUUCUACAGUAGCUGCUGGAUAGAGUCACUGAGUCUCAAGGCAGAAGAAAGCUCCUACAUGUGAUGCUGUAUUGGCAAUCAAGACCCAGCCCCAUGAUGUCUGUGCUGCUUUGAAUGUAUUGCUCACAACAAUCAAUUAUACUGGUUGAAUAAAUUCUUUAUUUCAGAUUUAGCUCUGAUGAAUGGCUCUGUCUGAUGCACAAAAGAGUCACAAGCAAAAUACUGGAUCUCGGGGCCAUAUUCUGCCCUCUGAGGUGCUCUUGUGACUCCAUCCCAUUGAAUCUGCUUGUGGAAGGAGAGAAAGGAGCCAGUAACCUGCCCAUAGGAGCGUGGUCCUAUUAGAAAGAAAGGAAAGAGCACUAUGUCUUGUAAAGUGCUGCUCUGCUAAUAGUUCUUCAGCAAGCCUGGUCACUUCGUAUUACUUCUGAGACCACGAACCACUCAAUAUCUUGCAGGCUGUUAUAUAAAUCUAUGACAUUCACUUAGAAACUGGAGCAAAAUCUUCAAAAAAGGAAGAAGUGGGCUGCCAGUAGCCAAACUCCUCCCAUAAGUGAAUUGGAAUCAUGGAAGGGAAAGAACAUCCUUAGAAUUGAAGAGCUAUGUUUCGGGCAAGUAAAGGACAGCAUUGCAUGUAUUAUUUUAUCAUCAUAUAUCUCUAAUGUGGAAUAAUUCCUCUACAAACCUUUAGGAAUAAGAGGGUAAUCUAGUGACUGGUUUUCUUCAGUGUUGCCUUGUCUGCUGAGACCAAGGGAGGGACAUGAAUUUAUCAUGUUGAUAUUUGCAGGAAGCUGAGGUGAUAUCGCCAGGACUCUUCAAGCAUCUGAAGUGCCAAGGCUACAGGAAUCAACUCUUUGUAUUUCAGAAAUGGUGCAGAUAAGAUACAACCAUUCAGAAACACUUCAAAGAAAGCACAUGCUGCCAUUUUUUGUGUUGCGGAGCAACAUGGCAAUGUAGAAGGAAGAACCAGUCCAGUAAAGGCCAGGACUUGAUAGAUGUCACUUCGUGGUCAAAGUGUCCCUCCUCUCAAGUCUUGUCCCGAACCAGCUUCCUUGUAGUCAAAAGUAGUAGUCACUGUGAGACUUGAAAUGCAUUAAUCAAGAGAAAUAUUUCCCUACACACUGUCAGUCUAUGAAGCUGUCCAGCCUUCCUGUCUGAUUUGUAUUACCUUUUCUACUCCUAUCAGUUUGCCAUAGGUUGUAAGUGGUAGAAGUUAAUAAAAUUCUUCAAGAAUAAAUUCUACUGCAAUGGUUCAUUUUACUUAAAUACGUGAUCAGAUGAAAUGCAGCUUCUAAAGAACCCUUUAGAACAAGAGCAAGAUCUGGCAACUUAUUAGAUGCCCUCAAUGACUGUAGUCUUACCGGAGACUUUGAUCAAAGCUUCCUUCAUCUCUUUCAUGCUGCUUACAAAAUUACUCUUUGUAAAAAUGUAGUGUAUGACUUACUUUAACCAAGGAAAGACAAAUUCAUUCUGAAAGCAGGAGAUGACCAAUCUCUGGGCUCGAGUCAUGUGUAGAUCCUGAAUGAUUUUGGAGCAGCCUCUGUGGAGAGGAUAAGCCAAGUGACUGACAUCAGGGCCACACCAGAGAACAUUGUUGUGCUAGUUAUCGACCAUAAUGAAGUGGAAAGGUGACCUUCUGCAGUCCAGUUUCAUUAUUUCAGAAUUGGAGAUGAACUUUCCCCAAAAUUGUAUGGUAUAAUGGGUAUCUCUGCGCUAACCUUCCCACCAGUUCUGUCUGCACACCUACAUUUUAAGCCAUCUGGAAGCUCUCACAGGCCAUGAGCCAUACCUUGAAGCAGGAAAGCCUUCUCUGGGGGAGCUGUGGUGGUUACUGAAGGAAUUCAUCCCUUAUUUAGUCCACAAGAGACAAUUCCCAUCACUGCUGAACUGCAGGUACUGCUCAGUUGCCAUUCUGCAACUGCUGUGCUACACUGCAGUAUUUCAGGAGGAAAAGUGGGGAAUGACUUUUCCAUUUGAAGCCAUAUGAAGGGAUUCAGCCAGACAGCAUGUAAUUACCCUAGCUGGAGCUGGGCCAAGGGAGAGGAUCUGUGGCUCCCCAUCUGCAGGCUUAUUUUCAGCACUUCAAAUGAGAAAUCGCAAGGAACACUUAAAAAUUAAUGAAACAAACUCAGUUUCAGUCUGGACAUCUCCUCCAUCAUGCCCACAUCAGAGACAAAUAACUCACCAAUAUGGUGUACCCUGGACUACCCUUCAAAGGCUCAGCUUGCAAGCCCAAAUGAAAGAGCAGCUGGAGGCAAGGAGCCUUUCCCAUUCAUUCAGGCUGAAGUCAGAUGGGAAAUGUUGGCUUCAUUUCAGUACAGCAGGACGAAUACCAUGAUGCUCCACCAUCUUCCUCAGCAGGGUCUUGUUUCAUCCAUCCCUUCUGGGACCGUCAGUGGCAGCUUUGCCCUCUGCCAUAGCCGAAAGCAGCCGUGUCCAGCAGAGUGGGUCACGCAUGGUGGAGUUAGAUUCAACUCCAUCCUAGCUCUCAGCUCUUCCUACCUGAAUGAUCUGGAUUUGCUAUUACUGGUGAUAGGCUCAGGGAAGGGAAGUGUGUAGGAACAUCUUUUUAUUUUUGUGUUUUCUCCUUGUACCAUUAUUUAGCCUUACUGUAAACAUCCAUGCUUACUCAUGUAUUCCUACAGCAGAUGUAAAAAUAUCUCCCUCCCUCCAUUUCCAAUGCUGUAUCUUGCAGACCUGAAAUGACCCUGUAUGAGAGGGUCAUGACAGCACAGUCUAAUGGAGAAGAAAAAUGGCAAUGAGGUAAUGUAGCAAAAGCAACUGUCUGAAAGAGCUGCUCACCAAUUGUGUUUGCUCUUGCAAUUCAGGCUACUUGUAUUGUCAUCCAGCUCCAGGGCUGAAGGGCUUUUAUUGGUGCAACCCUGUGAAAUCCAUGGAUUUUAUCCCAGGAUGGCUGCAGUGAGUGCUGUGGAUGAUGGGCGCAGUCUCACGUUCACGUGCCAGCUGCACCAGCCCUGUGAGCCCAGAGGAGCUGUGCUCAUUCACACCAAUGAGCACCAUGAUAUGAAAUUUAUAACAAUGACAAUUGGGAACCAGAGGUGGUUUUGUGGAAGGAUUGUUACUUACUGCUUAAAUAGAAAUAUCUUAUUCUUACAGGCAUGGAAAAUGCGGCACUACAGUAAAUCUGGGCAGAUCCUGUAAGAUUUUGUUCCAAGAUGGAAUAAUGCCUUUCUUGAUGCCUUAGGGCCACCAUCACCAUAAGCCACAGUUGUUUGUUUUCAUCAGGUUCAUCUGAAUCUGGAUCAGAUCCCUUGCUCUGCUUUGCCAUGCGUGAGCUGAAACAAAGUGAUGGGACAGGACGAAGCAAUGCGGGACAGGAAUGGCUGUUUUGGUGGCAGAGCCAGCUUACAUUGAUUUAAAGUGAUCACAGUACUGUCAUACAAGAUAGGCAAUUGCUCAUGUUCUUCACUGCUUCUGGUCAAGGACACACCUACAACUAUUUGGUUGCUUAACCAAGUGGUUUCCUAAGCUCAUUUUUGUAUAGGUUACCCAUGUAACCAACAGUGAAUAAAGAAAACUGGUGUGUCAAAUAGCAAGAAAUUGUAACUGGCAACUGCCAAUUGUAGUUUUUAGCAUAUAUAGGCCAUAAGAGCUUCUAAUUUUCCAUUCCUCUGGUUAGGUUUUUAAAUGUAAUGAUGAAAUAAAUGACCCAUUAUCAAUGCGUUCCCACAGAAUAACUUCAACAACAGUACAAGAUGCAAUCCACUUGCAAAUGUCUAAUCCAGUUAUUCUGUGGGUUUUUUUAGAUAGCCUUCCUGAGGUGAAAUAACAAUUUUUAAAAAGUGGAUGGUCAAAAUUUAACAUGUUGAGGAGCAGAGGUUCCCCUCCUACUUCCCUGUGCUUGUGAACUGAGUUUGCAGGGAUGGUGGGUGUCAUGCGGUACUUGGGUAUAGUUUGCUUCACCUGUCAUAUGCCUUAACUUACCAUAGUGUUUUGCAUUUGGGUCAGCUGUAUUUUUAUCAAGCAUUAACAUGCAUAAGGGUUUGCCAGUACUUAAUAAAAAUGCUACAGAAAACUGCA